Molecule: ribosomal RNA, 253 nt
Filed under: uncultured bacterium
Lineage: Bacteria
Description: partial 16S ribosomal RNA
Rfam family: Bacterial small subunit ribosomal RNA
Source: RNAcentral
UACGUAGGCAGCGAGCGUUGUUCGGAGUUACUGGGCGUAAAGAGUGCGUAGGCGGUUGGCUAAGUUUGGUGUGAAAUCUCCCGGCUCAACUGGGAGGGUGCGCCGAAAACUGGCUGGCUGGAGUGUGGGAGAGGCUAGCGGAAUUCCUGGUGUAGCGGUGAAAUGCGUAGAUAUCAGGAGGAACACCGGUGGCGAAGGCGGGAUCCUGGGCCAGUACUGACGCUGAGGCGCGAAAGCUAGGGGAGCAAACGGG